This 468-nucleotide ribosomal RNA is filed under the name uncultured bacterium. Its description in RNAcentral is "partial 16S ribosomal RNA". It matches the Rfam family "Bacterial small subunit ribosomal RNA", at positions 28 to 507 of the family's 1533-position model. The record is from RNAcentral.
GACGAACGCUGGCGGCGUGCUUAACACGUGCAAGUCGAACGGAAAGGCCCUGCUUUUGUGGGGUGCUCGAGUGGCGAACGGGUGAGUAACACGUGAGUAACCUGCCCUUGACUUUGGGAUAACUUCAGGAAACUGGGACUAAUACCGGAUAGGAGCUCCUGCUGCAUGGUGGGGGUUGGAAAGUUUCGGCGGUUGGGGAUGGACUCGCGGCUUAUCAGCUUGUUGGUGGGGUAGUGGCUUACCAAGGCUUUGACGGGUAGCCGGCCUGAGAGGGUGACCGGCCACAUUGGGACUGAGAUACGGCCCAGACUCCUACGGGAGGCAGCAGUGGGGAAUAUUGCACAAUGGGCGGAAGCCUGAUGCAGCAACGCCGCGUGCGGGAUGACGGCCUUCGGGUUGUAAACCGCUUUCGCCUGUGACGAAGCGUGAGUGACGGUAAUGGGUAAAGAAGCACCGGCUAACUACGUG